UACGGGGGGGGCAAGCGUUGUUCGGAAUUACUGGGCGUAAAGGGCUCGUAGGCGGCCAACUAAGUCAGACGUGAAAUCCCCAGGCUCAACCUGGGAACUGCGUCUGAUACUGGAUGGCUUGAAUUCGGGAGAGGGAUGCAGAAUUCCAGGUGUAGCGGUGAAAUGCGUAGAUAUCUGGAGGAACACCGGUGGCGAAGGCGACAUCCUGGACCAACACUGACGCUGAGGAGCGAAAGCCAGGGGAGCAAACGGG
This 253-nucleotide ribosomal RNA is filed under the name uncultured bacterium. Its description in RNAcentral is "partial 16S ribosomal RNA". It matches the Rfam family "Bacterial small subunit ribosomal RNA", at positions 524 to 776 of the family's 1533-position model. The record is from RNAcentral.